Molecule: ribosomal RNA, 253 nt
Filed under: uncultured bacterium
Lineage: Bacteria
Description: partial 16S ribosomal RNA
Rfam family: Bacterial small subunit ribosomal RNA
Source: RNAcentral
UACGGAGGGUGCAAGCGUUAUCCGGAUUCACUGGGUUUAAAGGGUGCGUAGGCGGGUAGGUAAGUCAGUGGUGAAAUCUUCGAGCUUAACUCGGAAACUGCCGUUGAUACUAUCUAUCUUGAAUACCGUGGAGGUGAGCGGAAUAUGUCAUGUAGCGGUGAAAUGCUUAGAUAUGACAUAGAACACCAAUUGCGAAGGCAGCUCGCUACACGAAUAUUGACUCUGAGGCACGAAAGCGUGGGGAUCAAACAGG